This 373-nucleotide ribosomal RNA is filed under the name uncultured Glomeromycotina. Its description in RNAcentral is "LSU rRNA". Lineage: Eukaryota; Fungi; Glomeromycota. The record is from RNAcentral.
UUGAAAGGGAAACGAUUGAAGUCAGUCGUACCGGCGGGUAAUCAGCCUUUUGGGUGUGAUUAUGUGGAGUGUGAGGAGUUAAACACCCUCAUCUUUGCAUAUUCGUGCACUUUGGGUGUACUUGCUCGUGUGGUAGGUUAACAUCAAUUUUGAUCGUCAUAAAAUGAUUGGAGGAAUGUAGCUUCGAUCUCGUAUUGAAGUGUUAUAGCCUUCGGUAGAUGUGAUGAUUGGGAUUGAGGAUUGCAACGGAUACCCUUCGGGGCUACCUGUCUGAUCUCUGAAAGUUGCUCUGGUGCUGAAAGCUCGCUUACGGUCAUCAAAGUUGACGUUCAACAGGUUAGAACGGGAUAAAUUCGUUAAGGAUGUUGACGUA